UUCUUGCCCACCUGGAUGUGGAUCUUAGUCAUAGUGAAAGCACAUAUGACUAGAGACACAUUCAGCUGGGCGAAAGC
RNAcentral lists this microRNA precursor (77 nucleotides) under Nippostrongylus brasiliensis. RNAcentral's name for it is "mir-44 microRNA precursor family". It matches the Rfam family "mir-44 microRNA precursor family". Lineage: Eukaryota; Metazoa; Nematoda; Chromadorea; Rhabditida; Heligmosomidae. The record is from Rfam by way of RNAcentral.